UACGUAGGGGGCAAGCGUUGUCCGGAUUUAUUGGGCGUAAAGAGCGUGUAGGCGGUUUGGUAGGUCCGUUGUGAAAACUCGAGGCUCAACCUCGAGACGCCGAUGGAAACCAUCAGACUAGAGUCCGGAAGAGGCGAGUGGAAUUCCUGGUGUAGCGGUGAAAUGCGCAGAUAUCAGGAGGAACACCAAUGGCGAAGGCAGCUCGCUGGGACGUGACUGACGCUGAGACGCGAAAGCGUGGGGAGCAAACAGG
Molecule: ribosomal RNA, 253 nt
Filed under: uncultured bacterium
Lineage: Bacteria
Description: partial 16S ribosomal RNA
Rfam family: Bacterial small subunit ribosomal RNA
Source: RNAcentral